Molecule: non-coding RNA, 3181 nt
Organism: Physcomitrium patens
Lineage: Eukaryota; Viridiplantae; Streptophyta; Bryopsida; Funariales; Funariaceae
Source: RefSeq, a predicted model, not a curated record
AGCGCCUUGUCCUGCUCUUCCACCUCGAGUUUCUAUUUCGUUCAGUUAGAUAUGUUGUUAUUACACCGUUUGAGUCUGGGAUGGAGCAAGAAAAGUGGAGAACAUCGUUGUAAUCGGUUGCGUUCUGUGCCCCUCGGGCUGCUUUUGUCAUGUGUCAAUGGAAGAUGGUCCUCGUGUCGUGACCUCCGCUUCUUGGGUCCCCCCACCAUUUCGCUAUUUUUUCAUUCGCUUGCGCUCCUGCUUUUGGUAAGUUUAGAAAUGUGCUGUGCAGUCUGAUUUGUUGCUGCUUAGGUGCGAGCUUGGUCUUGGUCUCUUACGCCUGGCAUACAGCGCUGACUUCAUGGCAGCGUUCGAUGGCUCGUGGGGCUUGUGACAAAAUUCCGUGUCACGCGUUCCGAGCGUCACAACAGCGAGUUGCAUCAGCAGAGCUCUUUCCGUGACUGAUUUCACUUCUUGAGACUUCAGUAAAUUGGGGGGUGCACCAUUUUUACUUAUUUUGCUGACGACAAUUUUCACGUCAACAAGCCUGUCUUCGGGAGGUAUACAGUUGGUGGUCUCUAUUUUCAUGUGGACAUGACGCGGAGUUAACGAAUGAAGAAUCUAAAGCUAUGACCGCCACGCGGAUGUAUCAAACUCUCCAAAGCUCCGGGUGCUCCAGAAAACAUUGUGGUAUUCUCCAUACCUCCCGGUAAUGAGGAGUCUUUAAUAGUUUCAAGUCCUUAUUAUUAAUAAUGAUAAUGAGGAUUAAUAUACGCACUGUCGUACAAGAGAAUGACGGGUUCCGAAUGCUACAUCAACGCUUCGGAGCUUACUCUUCCUGGUAAAUACUUGCUGGGUUAAGACCACAUCAAUAGCGAUUUCGAGUGGAACACGUCGUAAGUAUUUUUCCAUCUGCAUGGAAUUUCAGAUUGAUACGGCUAUAGUGAUAAGUUUAUUUUAGCUCAACUCUGGCACAGCUAUUGGUGCAAUGGAACGACGACAGUUGAUGACAGAGGUCUAUUGAUUUUGGGUAGAUAAAGUGGGCCCCUGAGAUCCGAGAAUGCUGUCGUCACAAAUUUCUGAGGCAACAAGGAAAAUUAAAACAUGCCAUCCGUAAGCCUGGAACAAAAUGCAUGGACCUGUAGUGCUUGAAAACCUGCCACUUCGAAGCCUAAAAGCAAUGAAAACCUAGUAUAUUGUCUACAUAGAGACCCUGCCAGUCACCAACUCCGAAUUAGCAUAGGUUGUCUGCAAAGCGGAACUUACAGGUACAGUGCAGUGAAACAAACUUUUACGGAAACACAAAGAAUGAGAGAUUGGGGCAAUUGGUGGACGAGGGAGAAGAGGUAAUGUAGACGCUGACCCACAAAUAGCUUCUGUACUUAAGAAACGCGAUUGUGGCAAAAAUUACGUGGAAAAGUAUCCACAGAACGAGUUUCAGCUUACAACUGACUUCUCGUGAGGACAAAUGGCACAAUUACCAGUACAAAAGUUUCCUUUUGACCGACAUGAUAUCCAAUGAAGCCGCGCGAGUUGGUCGACUUUGCGAGUGUAACAUUCAUCCUGCAAAGAUCCAAAACCGAGGAGCUGGGAAUUCAUCAACUGGCUUUUGGAGUGAGAAGAUCCGGUUCAGUGUGUGUAGCACAGGCUAGUGCGGAGCGAGGUCGAUUCUUGCGGCGGAUUGUUGAUAUUCGGGUGUUUGUUUUUCUCCCUCAAAGGCUUCCAACAACAGGAGGGUACAAUUCCAUUGUGGUUAUAACCCAUAGUUGAGGUGUUUUUGCUCUCUCUGCUGUCGGAAGCCUUCGAGGGAGAUGAAAGAAUUUCCUGUUUUUCGAGUGUUCUGGCUGAGCGGCCUCUCUGCUCAGUUGAUCUGCUCCUGGCUGAGGUAUGGUUGGAUAUAAAUGCCUGAAUUGUUCAUCUGAACGAACAGCUACCAGCGGUGGCGAACGCACUCUUGUAUGAGAAACAAGUUUGUAGUUGCUAAUUUCUUCCAAGGGCUCAUGAACCGCAACUUUGACAAUUGUAGAUGACAUUUUUCAGUUCUAUUUUUUUUUCUGUCUAUUGCCACUGGUCAACGCCGAUCCGUAUCAAGGCAGAUUGCCUUGCUUCGAAACAGUGUGAGUGUAAGAGCAGAUUUCAACUCUCUGCGUGUAGUAUAGGUACCUAAUCAUUUGUGUUUUUUGAUUGAUUCUACAUUCUCAGUGAACCCUUCAUUUGCACCACUGCACCUUUGAAUACCCGCUUGUAAAGAGUAAUUUAUGUCUUGGGAGUCUUUCAUUCUACGUGUUGCAGAAUUUCGCCAACGACACUGAGUGGGACUGAGCGUGUUUUUAAGUCGUGUAUCCUGUUGCCUAUCUGACGUGCAGGAGCCCUGCAACAUAUCUUGUGUAAUUGUGAUCGCAGAUCGUCUUCUAUUUUGUGUAUCCCAUACUGGGGGACUGAGAAACUCUCACCAGAUAUCAUUGUGCAUACCUGAGGAGCUGAACGCGGGGAUUAAAUUCACGUUGCCUUCAGGUUGCAACUCGUUUCAAACCUCAACGCGACGAGUACGACCUGCACUGCACCCCAAAGCAGUAACUCUCUUGCUCCUAAACAGCUCAUUAGAUUGCUCACUGACCACAUUGAAAGCAUCUUGCAGACUAACCUUGUGUUCUAGAGAGUUGUGUCCCCAGUGUCAUCUUACUCUCCAACGUCUGUUCUUCACAAUUCUGCAGCAUAAAUACCUUCUGAGUUUUUAGAGAAAGCUAACAGUCUCACAUUGCAAAUCAAUUGUCUAAUCUUCACCAAUUAUGAUCUUCAAUGUGCAAAUUGUGACUGUCUUAGAUAGUGCUUCAUCACCAAGGAUUUUGAGUGAGUUCUGUGAAGGCGUAACUCCCGAGAAAUGCCUGUCUGAUCAGUAAGAAGAACCUUGAACUUUAGUUGUUCGUGAGUUUUGGAGACGGCGGAAGUGCUGACUCACUGGUGAUGUGAAAAAUAGACGUAUAUAACACCAAUUCUAACACACGUUGACUGACGUUGAAAAUGUGUCUGAUAUUUGUAUUGAUUUUCUGUAACGAAAAUAUCUAAAAUGCGAAUAAUGCAAUUACUUCCAGUGUCUCGCUGUAAGAUAUGAAAAGAGAGUGCGAUGAAAAACUCUCGAAUUCUUAUUCGAUUGUACUAUGAACACAUUUUCAAAUCAAUACUUUUUCAGUUGUACGCCAAA